CCUACGGGAGGCAGCAGUAGGGAAUUUUGCGCAAUGGGCGAAAGCCUGACGCAGCAACGCCGCGUGAUCGAGACGCCCUUCGGGGUUUAAAGAUCUGUUAGUGGGGGCGAAACUUGACGGUACCCUCAGAGUAAGCACCGGCUAACUCCGUGCCAGCAGCCGCGGUAAUACGGGGGGUGCAAGCGUUGUCCGGAAUCAGUGGGCGUAAAGAGUUCGUAGGCGGCACGUAAAGUCUGGUGUUAAAGGCAGAGGCUCAACUUCUGUACGGCACUGGAUACUGGCGAGCUAGUAUGCGGUAGAGGUAAAGGGAAUUCCUGGUGUAGCGGUGAAAUGCUGAGAUAUCAGGAGGAACACCGGUGGCGUAGGCGCUUUACUGGGCCAUAAUUGACGCUGAGGAACGAAAGCCAGGGUAGCAAAUGGGAGUAGAUACCCUUGUAGUC
Molecule: ribosomal RNA, 440 nt
Filed under: uncultured bacterium
Lineage: Bacteria
Description: partial 16S ribosomal RNA
Rfam family: Bacterial small subunit ribosomal RNA
Source: RNAcentral